Molecule: ribosomal RNA, 683 nt
Filed under: Vibrio parahaemolyticus
Lineage: Bacteria; Pseudomonadati; Pseudomonadota; Gammaproteobacteria; Vibrionales; Vibrionaceae
Description: bacterial SSU rRNA
Rfam family: Bacterial small subunit ribosomal RNA
Source: RNAcentral
GCUAACGCGUUAAGUAGACCGCCUGGGGAGUACGGUCGCAAGAUUAAAACUCAAAUGAAUUGACGGGGGCCCGCACAAGCGGUGGAGCAUGUGGUUUAAUUCGAUGCAACGCGAAGAACCUUACCUACUCUUGACAUCCAGAGAACUUUCCAGAGAUGGAUUGGUGCCUUCGGGAACUCUGAGACAGGUGCUGCAUGGCUGUCGUCAGCUCGUGUUGUGAAAUGUUGGGUUAAGUCCCGCAACGAGCGCAACCCUUAUCCUUGUUUGCCAGCGAGUAAUGUCGGGAACUCCAGGGAGACUGCCGGUGAUAAACCGGAGGAAGGUGGGGACGACGUCAAGUCAUCAUGGCCCUUACGAGUAGGGCUACACACGUGCUACAAUGGCGCAUACAGAGGGCGGCCAACUUGCGAAAGUGAGCGAAUCCCAAAAAGUGCGUCGUAGUCCGGAUUGGAGUCUGCAACUCGACUCCAUGAAGUCGGAAUCGCUAGUAAUCGUGGAUCAGAAUGCCACGGUGAAUACGUUCCCGGGCCUUGUACACACCGCCCGUCACACCAUGGGAGUGGGCUGCAAAAGAAGUAGGUAGUUUAACCUUCGGGGGGACGCUUACCACUUUGUGGUUCAUGACUGGGGUGAAGUCGUAACAAGGUAGCGCUAGGGGAACCUGGCGCUGGAUCACCUCCUUA